This 2015-nucleotide long non-coding RNA is filed under the name Cyanistes caeruleus (blue tit). RNAcentral's name for it is "lncRNA (ENSCCEG00000023591.1)". The record is from RNAcentral. Lineage: Eukaryota; Metazoa; Chordata; Aves; Passeriformes; Paridae.
UGUAAAUUUCCUUUGCCUUGUCAGCAAUGAGACCUUCAAUCUGUCUGCUUUCUUUCCACCAUGUAGACACUGGAAAGAACUGAGCCACAGAGGCCACAGAGUCUUAAGAGCUUGCUCAGUUUUACUCUGGGAGGUACAAUUUGCUCAGAUAUGCCCUACAAGGCUCAUCCUGCACCUGGGAUAGCUUGGUGUGAUAACAGGGUUUGCCCCUUCUCGUGCCCCAAAGUGGUGGACAAGGUAUUUUGCUUUGACACAGAGCCACAGAGAUGACACACUGGCUUUGACUUGCCCUCUCCACAUAUUUAAAUCUGUCCCUACAUGGCUCACUGGACUUCUGGAGAACCAAUGUGACCUCCUGUGUGGGACUGGUGUUUGGGCUGAGUAACUCAACCCACUGGGACAGGGGGUCUAGAGGGUUUAGAAUUUAACACCAAGGAUGGUGGUGUGAAGCUCACCCUUUGUAUGGUGCAUUUAAGCUAAAUUCUUGAAAACAGGUGCUCUCUUCUACUGAGAAUAUAUUCAGUGUGUUUCAGGCUGCCUGGACAUGCUGAGCUAAUGCAGGAGGGUCAGAGUGUCUCAUCAUGCUUGGGAGGGAGGUGGUGUUGGUCUUCUUCAUCAUGAAUGUAUUGAUAUUGAUUGUUCUAUCUGUGCUCAGACUCAGAUCUCCCUCUUCUGUAGGAUCCUGCAUGUUGGCCUGGAUCCAUGGCUGAUCUUGCACUGCUGUGUUCUUUCAUCUGGGCUCAAGCUGAUGGUGUGAUCCUCCUGUAUCGUUCCUCCAAAACUCCUGAGAACUUCUCUUAUGAGGAGAAAAAGCAAUUUUGGCUCAGAGCAUUGCAGGCUGGGAUCUCUGGUCUCCUGAGAACUCUGAAGACCUGUUGGUAACAUUUGGUACGUAUCAGGGGGGAAAGAUUUGCAGGUGUAAACAAGAGUUAAUCUCAGAGAGCAAAGGGAGAUGAUUGCCUGCAGGGGCUGUAUCCAUGCAGUAACUCACCAGCUCAUGUCUCUUAAUAGCAAGGAAUGCAGGGUUUGCUUAUGUUUACAGGCAGAAAGAGUGGAGAGAACUCUUCUUUUUUUGGGUCCACAGACUAAAUGCCAUGUGUAGGUAUUUAGGCAGUGUGCUCAGGCACUCACCUGUGGAGAACAAAUGGAUAUCAGGUGGGGGUCCUGAAGUGAUGAUCAGCUGAGCUUCUGUCUCUACUCUGCUGCUGACCCUUUUAGAGUAUUUUAUUAAAUUUUGCCUGUGUUUCAAUUACCACCUUUGAAGCUAAGGUGAGGAAAAGCACUGAUCCAGGCACAGCUUUGUAGUGCACAGAUCUGCUUAGGGCAUCCAUGAAAGCACCUGGGCUGGCAGAUAAAGCAAAAGUUGAGAUGCUGGCUAGAAAUUUCUGCUGACUGUGAGGAAAAGGUAACUUCUGCCACAUGGACUUUUCAGGCUGUUGACCCAAGUUCUUUGCAACACCAUCUCUCUGGCUUUUCUGAAGCCAGGGCAAAUCUUCCUGAAUCUGAUCUUUUGACUUCCACGUUUGCUUCCAUUGUAGAGUUUUCCUAGGCAGCUGAGUAAGAGUCAGUCAGCCAGAGGAGCCACACCAGCUGCUCCAUACCACUAUGUCAAUGCAAAGCAAACCAGAAAAACUGGCUAAGCUGCUAAAGGAAAGUGUUUCCAUGGGCUGGGGAAUCCUCUGGUGGGGCAGUCAGUGCAGGACAAUUCCCUCUGCCAGCACGUGGACUGGAUUACAGAUGGGUAAGGAGCCAGUAAUGCCUUUAUCCUGAUGCAUGACAGGUGAACUUGUGUAGGUGCAGUUCAGAUGAUGACAGGAGUCUUUAGAGACUUUGGUGGUGGUCUGUGUAUUGACUGAGUCUGUAGCUCACCAGGUGAAGCCUAAAUGAAUUUGAUGCCCACAGGUUGAUUCUCCAGUGCUGCUCUGAUGCUGCUGUACUGACUGGCCUCUGCUGACUGCUUCUGUGGCUGAAGAAUAAUUUCUUAGCUGCAAUAAAGCACUCUUGUAGCUUUUACA